RNAcentral lists this ribosomal RNA (481 nucleotides) under uncultured Propionibacterium sp. Its description in RNAcentral is "bacterial SSU rRNA". It matches the Rfam family "Bacterial small subunit ribosomal RNA", at positions 1 to 499 of the family's 1533-position model. Lineage: Bacteria; Bacillati; Actinomycetota; Actinomycetes; Propionibacteriales; Propionibacteriaceae. The record is from RNAcentral.
AGAGGUUUUGACCUGGCUCAGGACGAACGCUGGCGGCGUGCUUAACACAUGCAAGUCGAACGGAAAGGCCCUGCUUUUGUGGGGUGCUCGAGUGGCGAACGGGUGAGUAACACGUGAGUAACCUGCCCUUGACUUUGGGAUAACUUCAGGAAACUGGGGCUAAUACCGGAUAGGAGCUCCUGCUGCAUGGUGGGGGUUGGAAAGUUUCGGCGGUUGGGGAUGGACUCGCGGCUUAUCAGCUUGUUGGUGGGGUAGUGGCUUACCAAGGCUUUGACGGGUAGCCGGCCUGAGAGGGUGACCGGCCACAUUGGGACUGAGAUACGGCCCAGACUCCUACGGGAGGCAGCAGUGGGGAAUAUUGCACAAUGGGCGGAAGCCUGAUGCAGCAACGCCGCGUGCGGGAUGACGGCCUUCGGGUUGUAAACCGCUUUCGCCUGUGACGAAGCGUGAGUGACGGUAAUGGGUAAAGAAGCACCGGCUA